Molecule: non-coding RNA, 2406 nt
Organism: Leptonychotes weddellii (Weddell seal)
Lineage: Eukaryota; Metazoa; Chordata; Mammalia; Carnivora; Phocidae
Source: RefSeq, a predicted model, not a curated record
CUGGGGUGGGCGAGACGCUGGCGGAGCUGGAACUCGGGGUGAGGGGUGUGUGUGGUGUUUGUGUGUGCGUGCGUGUGCGUGUGUCCGUGUGUGUGCGCGUGUGUGGCCUUUCAGAGUGUAGAAUUUUUCUCCGAGUUGAACUGCUCACCGACCGACUGCCCCGAGGGGCUGAAGAUGCUGCCCUAGUCGGUGGCGAGGUUCCGCGCAACAGCUGGCUGGUAGCCCGUGUCUGGCGGCGGACGCGCGCGGUGACUGUGCCGUCUUCACGAGUGUCGCGUGUGCCCUCUGCGAUUACGCUUCGUGUGUGCGUGCUCUGCCUAGCCUGCCGCUGCCUCAGCCUGGAAGACUUUCAGGUCCGCUUCUGCUUCCCGACCAGAGUGUGCUGUGCCUGGAUUUGUGCCUCAGGCCAGCUAAAAACAAGGUUCAGACAGACACUGAAGCAGGAAGUUACAUUCAUGGAGAAUCCAGUGCAUUGAAGUCUCUGCAAAAAAGUGGCCAUUGGAGCUUACCGUUGAUUGAAGAAAUACACAGCAGGGUGAGUUUUCCACAACGCCUUCAGACCUGUGCCUCCACCACUUACAGCUGGGCGACACUGAGCACGUUCCGUAACAUCCGUGAGCCUCGUUUCCUGUAGCAACAUGGAAACACUAGUUAGUGGGGCAGUUUAGAGCACCUUCUGUGUUAAGACAAGGAAAGUUGUCAGGACAGCGCCUGGCAUGUGGAGAGCUGUCAGUCAGUUCUAGCUGCUGUUCCUUUUGUCCUUCCCACAUCUCCCCGAAGCGUGUUGCGGACAGAUGGUGUCGAGACUACUUCUGACUCACUGGAGGGACUUGGCGCGAUCACGUCAGCUCCUCAGGGACUCCAGAACUGAGUCGGGGGCGGGGGCACAGGGGACGGCGUAUGUUUCUUAGCAUAGUGAGUAUUCAGCUCUCCUUAUGGGUGAUGAUGAAGUCCGAGUGGAAACUUCUCUAGGAAAUUAGACCAAAUGACCCGUUCAUACGUCUUGUACGGUGGUCGGAAAAGUAAGUGGUCACUGGAUAAGGAUAGAACACGAGUCUGUGAAUUUGCAUAAUCAUGUCAAAGAGUGAAAUGUAAAGGCCAAAGAACCUCAUCACACGGCUUCUUUUCUUGCUGUUAGUUCUAUUGAAUCCACUUCUCCUGCAUCAGAUGGUCACAGGUGAAUCCGGGAACGCUAUGAAACUGUUACUAGGUCAAAUUGUCAUCGGUAAGACUUUAUUUCUCAUGGAGUUUUCACAUGGCCAGUUUUAUCGUGCGGAUUUUUCUCUUCCAUUAAUACUCAUUAUUGAUUGAACAAAAGGCCGAUGUAUUAAUAUGUUCUGAGCUCCAGCAUGAGGAGAUGGUAAACAGUGUUUUUGGAGAGUCUGAGGAAAGGGGCGGUGGGGAGGGAAAGGGAGAGGGCGAGGUGAAGGUAUACUGGGGGCAGGAAGAGAGAAGUCGUGGCAAACAGGAGGGAAGGAUGAGGGGCGCAAGCAGAAAGCAGAAGUAAAGAGACACAGGAAUAGAAGCUCACAUGUCAGGAGGCUUACUAUAGGCCUGGCAUUGUUUUUAGCUCUUUCCCUACAGAUAGACUUUUUUUUAAAGUCAUUGACUAGUCACUGCAACACUGGGAGGUAAGUAUUUUUAAGGUUGACAUGCCCUGUUUACAGACCAGGAAACUGAGACACGUGGAGGUUAAGAGGGGAAGUAACUUACCCAAAGCCACCUAGCCAGCAAGGGCAGAGUCAGGGUGGUACCCAGGUCAGAGAGAAGCAUAAAGAGACGUGGGAUUUGGCCCUAAACUGCAGUGCACCUCCGUGUCCAGUGUCCUCUGGCUCAAAAGACAGGUGAACGUGUGCAGCAGCUUAAUCUGAUUACACUGGAUCUGGGUAUGGAUUGAACAUGAUGUCUCUUCAGUGCAUGAGACACUGUGGGGUGACAAGUCACUCUAGGCACAUCACUAAGUGGGUGUCUGGUUCAUAUCAAGGUCCGUACAUGUGGACGUCAGCAUUGGUAUCCUCAUCGUCAUUAUCAUGAUGGACAGUAGUUUAUGGUAUAAUGUGAGGAAACAAAACAGCAGAUGAAAGAGUGUAGAUGACCUCCCCACUCCAAUCUCAUGAUUUAAAAAAUGCAUAGCAUGAAGCCUGGAAGAGAGUACACCACAUUAAGUCAUUUACCCUAAGUGUGAGAUGCUAGAUAAUUUGCAAAUAACAUUUUGUUCACUGUUUGAUUUGCUGUAUCCUCAUUCUUGUUGCACAGCCAGUGUCUGGUACGAGUUUCCAGUCGUUUUUAUGAAGACUGCGGCUUUGAUACCCUUGCCAGGUGAACACCCAGUCCGGGCAUUUAACGCAGAGAGGAGCGAUGUGGUACAGUAGAGAGGAGCAGCGGGGGAAGCAGAGAGCUUUGGAU